UGCAGUCGAGGGGUAGAGUUUCUUCGGAAAUUUGAGACCGGCGCACGGGUGCGUAACGCGUAUGCAAUCUACCCUUUACUGGGGAAUAGCCCGGAGAAAUUCGGAUUAAUGCCCCAUAUGCCCACGGAAUCGCAUGGUUCAGUGGGGAAAGUUCCGACGGUAAAGGAUGAGCAUGCGUCCCAUUAGCUAGUUGGGGAGGGAGCGGCUCACCAAGGCGACGAUGGGUAGGGGGCCUGAGAGGGUGAUCCCCCACACUGGUACUGAGACACGGACCAGACUCCUACGGGAGGCAGCAGUGAGGAAUAUUGGGCAAUGGAGGCAACUCUGACCCAGCUAUGCCGCGUGCAGGAAGACGGCCCUCUGGGUUGUAAACUGCUUUUGUUUGGGAAUAAACCCUCCUACGUGUAGGAGGCGGGGAGGUACCUUACGAAUAAGCAUCGGCUAACUCCGUGCCAGCAGCCGCGGUAAUACGGAGGAUGCAAGCGUUAUCCGGAUUUAUUGGGUUUAAAGGGUCCGUAGGCGGGUCUUUAAGUCAGUGGCGAAAGCCCACAGCCCAACUGUGGAACUGCCAUUGAUACUGGAGAUCUUGAGUGUAGUAGAAGUAGGCGGAAUAGGGCAUGUAGCGGUGAAAUGCAUAGAUAUGCCCUAGAACACCGAUUGCGAAAGCAGCUUACUAUGUUACAACUGACGCUGAGGGACG
Molecule: ribosomal RNA, 700 nt
Filed under: uncultured Bacteroidota bacterium
Lineage: Bacteria; Pseudomonadati; Bacteroidota
Description: bacterial SSU rRNA
Rfam family: Bacterial small subunit ribosomal RNA
Source: RNAcentral